Molecule: ribosomal RNA, 231 nt
Filed under: uncultured bacterium
Lineage: Bacteria
Description: partial 16S ribosomal RNA
Rfam family: Bacterial small subunit ribosomal RNA
Source: RNAcentral
CGGGUGAGUAACGCGUGGAUAACCUGCCUCACACUGGGGGAUAACAGUUAGAAAUGACUGCUAAUACCGCAUAAGCGCACAGUACCGCAUGGUACAGUGUGAAAAACUCCGGUGGUGCGAGAUGGAUCCGCGUCUGAUUAGCCAGUUGGCGGGGUAACGGCCCACCAAAGCGACGAUCAGUAGCCGACCUGAGAGGGUGACCGGCCACAUUGGGACUGAGACACGGCCCAA